Molecule: long non-coding RNA, 977 nt
Filed under: Chinchilla lanigera (long-tailed chinchilla)
Lineage: Eukaryota; Metazoa; Chordata; Mammalia; Rodentia; Chinchillidae
Description: lncRNA (ENSCLAG00000025428.1)
Source: RNAcentral
AUUAUUUGCCACCUUAUUCUCCAUUUCUGGUGAUGUGAAAUUUAAAAUAACACAAAACAAUUGUUUUCAGUGCCAUUGCAUGGAAUUAAUGGCCAUUUUUAUCUUAUCCACAUAGACGAAUUUAGCACAAAGAGCUCUUUGCCAGGUGCUGUGAGGGAUACAAAGAGGCAGAAUAACAGGAUCUGUUCCUUCUGCGAGUUUGGUUGGUUUCUCUUUGUACCACUGUGUUGAUACAUGCAGCAACAGUAGUGAUAAGCUACUGAGGUCAGAGCUAAGUACUCGUGUGCACUUUAGCUCACUUAAUCUUUACAACCACCCGAUUAGUUGGACAUUGACACUGUAUCUAUAUAUAGAUGAGGGUAUUGAGGGGCAGCAAUAUUAAUUUUCCAUGGUCAGAAUUUAUAGUGGAACUAGACAUUUGAAGGCAAUUCUGAUGCUAUAGUUCUUUUUUAACCACUGCAUCACCAUGUCUGCUCCAUAAAAAUGGAGAGCAUGAACCCAUUACAUGGGAUCCAAAGGACGCAUCUACAUUUACUUGAAGGCCAAAUGAUUUUAAGUACUUAGUGUUUUAACUGCUCUUUGCUUGUGUAGAAUAGACUGAAUAAAACUCUCCAGCUUAUUACUCAAUGCAGAGAAUUCACAGCUCCUGUCUGGUAAAACUGGGGUGGGAAUAUAAUUAGAGCCCUGAAUACUGGUGUUACAUUUAACUCACGGAGGAUAGUACUUCAGUCCUGAUUUGCUAAAUUGUAGAUCAGUGACAAAACUGAUUUUAAUGCUUAAAGAGAAUACUAAGUUACUGGGUUUUGUUUGGUUGCUUGCAUUAAAUAGUGCAAAAGUUGCAACAGGAACCGAGAAGCUCCACCUGCAGAUGCCGAGUGGAUCAAAAUAAUUUCUGCUUCCAUGAGAGUGAGAAAGAAUUCCAGACAGAGAAAAAGGGCAUUUUUGCAGACAAACUGAGAAGGAAGAAAAAUAGUCAA